Molecule: non-coding RNA, 413 nt
Organism: Penaeus vannamei (Pacific white shrimp)
Lineage: Eukaryota; Metazoa; Arthropoda; Malacostraca; Decapoda; Penaeidae
Source: RefSeq, a predicted model, not a curated record
AGGUCAUUGUUGCGUUAACAGUAUGAAGGUCGCGGCGCUGUGCUUCGUGGUCGCCCUGGUCGUCGCAGGUGCCAUUCCGCCGCCAGAAUCCGGAGAAGCGUAUGCGUUUGCCAAGCUGCCAGCCGCGUCCACUGCUGCACCCACGCCCUCUGCGCCCGGGACACCAGAGAUGGCCAAGAUGUACCAGUUUUUGCGUCCCCGUAUUCUUACCAGCUGCCGUUACCUGCAUAAGGAGUCCAAGGGUGACCCGACCAAACUACUAUUGUCAACAAACUAUUUAUGUGGAUCCUGUAAAUCAUACAUAUAUGUAGACCUAUUUUAAAGGGUGUAGGCUUCGCCAGAGUGAGGCUGGUUCUUUCUGUAUUUUGUUUAAUGUUUAAUGCAAAAAUGUAAAAUAUAUGUCAAAACGUGUU